GAUGAACGCUGGCGGCGUGCCUAAUACAUGCAAGUCGAGCGAACAGACGAGGCGCUUGCUCCUCUGACGUUAGCGGCGGACGGGUGAGUAACACGUGGAUAACCUACCUAUAAGACUGGGAUAACUUCGGGAAACCGGAGCUAAUACCGGAUAAUAUAUUGAACCGCAUGGUUCAAUAGUGAAAGACGGUUUUGCUGUCACUUAUAGAUGGAUCCGCGCUGCAUUAGCUAGUUGGUAAGGUAACGGCUUACCAAGGAAACGAUGCGUAGCCGACCUGAGAGGGUGAUCGGCCACACUGGAACUGAGACACGGUCCAGACUCCUACGGGAGGCAGCAGUAGGGAAUCUUCCGCAGUGGGCGCAAGCCUGACGGAGCAACGCGGCGUGAGUGAUGAAGGUCUUCGGAUCGUAAAACUCUGUUAUUAGGGAAGAACAAGUGUGUAAGUACAUAUGCACGUCUUGACGGUACCUAAUCAAAAAGCCACGGCUAACUACGUG
RNAcentral lists this ribosomal RNA (497 nucleotides) under uncultured bacterium. Its description in RNAcentral is "partial 16S ribosomal RNA". It matches the Rfam family "Bacterial small subunit ribosomal RNA", at positions 28 to 507 of the family's 1533-position model. The record is from RNAcentral.